GAUGAAGAACGUAGUGAAAUGCGCUAAGUAAUGUGAAUUGCAGAAUUCAGUGAAUCAUCGAAUCUUUGAACGCACAUUGCGCCCUCUGGGAUUCCGGGGGGCAUGCCUGUUCGAGCGUCAUUAUAACCACUCAAGCUCUCGCUUGGUAUUGGGGUUCGCGGUUCCGCGGCCCCUAAAAUCAGUGGCGGUGCCUGUCGGCUCUACGCGUAGUAAUACUCCUCGCGAUUGAGUCCGGUAGGUCUACUUGCCAGCAACCCCCAAUUUUUACAGGUUGACCUCGGAUCAGGUAGGGAUACCCGCUGAACUUAAGCAUAUCAAUAAGCGGAGGA
Molecule: unclassified non-coding RNA, 329 nt
Filed under: soil metagenome
Description: partial contains 5.8S ribosomal RNA, internal transcribed spacer 2, and large subunit ribosomal RNA
Rfam family: 5.8S ribosomal RNA (bases 1-120)
Source: RNAcentral